CAACGGUCUCGAUGGUAGGAACAAGCAAAAGCUCCUUUAAAUUUCGUCAUUUUUUAUACACAUCCUGUUUAUUUUGUAGUUAAUUGUUAGAUAAGUUAGUAAUUUCGUCAAGUUUUCGUUACAAGGGGUUUCUGUUCCUGCAGUCUUUCAGCGGUGCUGGCGCGUAUGACGAUGCGGACAUGAACAGCACACUACAGUAUACCGCCACCUACUGUACUGUAGUACAAUAACGUCCUUUAAACAUCUAAACAUGUCCUCCAAAAAGGAAAAGGGAAAAAACAUUGGAAAACAAUUUUAGCCUAAGGUUUCCUGUGCUGUUUUGCUCCAUUUUACUGAACAAAAUAAGGCUGAGGUAGCACCAUCCUUGUGGUUAGAGUGAAAGAACGUGACCUGAAGAUAAGAUUUCCAGUUUAAAAAUUUUUUCCUUGUAUUUUUUUUUGUUAAAUGAGGAGCAACCAGUAAGAAAAAACAAAAAGAUAUUUUGAUGUUUGCUUGAGGCACCUUAUUUUUAUGCACAAUCACAAAUGCAGCACAUCAAUCAAUUUCUUCCAACCAGCGAAUCAAGAAAUCUUGGAGUGGAGAAUCAUUCUGAAAGUAGACCAAAUCCAGGACAACAUCACAGCAGUGGUCGGAAAAAUGCAGCAAGCCAAGCUGACUUUCAAAAGAUGAUUCGUUAUCUGUUUCUUCAGAGGGGAGGCAGUUUGGGAGAUGGGAAUUAGGAGGAUGCUACAGUUACACAGGGCGAAUUUCAGCAGCUCAGUUUCAAACUUGCAAG
Molecule: non-coding RNA, 775 nt
Organism: Misgurnus anguillicaudatus (oriental weatherfish)
Lineage: Eukaryota; Metazoa; Chordata; Actinopteri; Cypriniformes; Cobitidae
Source: RefSeq, a predicted model, not a curated record